Molecule: long non-coding RNA, 857 nt
Organism: Rhododendron vialii
Lineage: Eukaryota; Viridiplantae; Streptophyta; Magnoliopsida; Ericales; Ericaceae
Exons: 4
Source: RefSeq, a predicted model, not a curated record
CAAAUUUCAAAAUUCAAACACACACCCUUGGCUCAACGAAGACGUCCCAUUGCAAAUACCAUCUCUCUCUCUCUCUCUCUCUCUCUCUCUCUCUACGCCGACCCACCAAUCUCACUGCUCUCUCACCACACCCACCCACCAAGCUCGAUCGAGUUGUGUUACGGCUCGAAUGGCGGCGAUUGGGUUCCUUCCCGGAUUGUCCACAACCGAGUCGAAUCAACUCGCAAUUGAAGGGCUACUUUCGUCUUGGUUCGAAAAUCACAGAUGAUACAAAUGGCAUACAUACAAUCGGUGCAAGGAAGAUUAUUAUAGACUAAACAAAAGGGAGAUGGGUUGUCUGAUGCUUCAUCAGUGUGAAGCUUCAUCCAGAGUUAUACAGCCUUUGCUAUAUUUAGAAGCAGGGGAAAAAGAUUCUACGUGUUGCUAUGUUUAGGUUCUUGAGUUGUUAUGUACAAAUGUGUGUGAUUUUUUGUUGUUGUACCUCUUUACUUAUAUUCUAUCCAAGGAAAACAAACAUUCAAAUUGAUUUUUUCAAAUGGUUUGCGCUUUUCUGGCUUCUCCGGCCAAAUGGUGAUCUCAGAAGUUCAAGUGCUUCUUUUGCGCACUUCAAUAUAUUGGUGUUGGAUAGGGGAACGUAAUGCUGUGAUUCGUAGUGAUAAGGCUCCAACUAGGCCAUGCCUUUGUUUUCCGUAAAAUACGUUCCGAGCAUUUGUAAAAUUGUAGCAAAAUUGUAGCAUAUUUGAUGUUUAAGUUGUGUUCAAAGUAUAUAAGGAAAACAAAGAAGCAGCCUUGGCUAGGCUACGAAAGAGUAAAUAAAAGGGUCAUUAACGAAACGCAUCCAAAGUCCUUUUGGACUU